GGCUUCGUAGCUCAGCUGCUAGAGCGCUUGCCUCGUUGAGGCACGCCAUGUCUGUCACUGGUUCGAAUCCAGCCGAAGCCC
RNAcentral lists this transfer RNA (81 nucleotides) under Paragonimus westermani. RNAcentral's name for it is "tRNA-Asn". It matches the Rfam family "tRNA". Rfam says of the family: Transfer RNA (tRNA) molecules are approximately 80 nucleotides in length. Their secondary structure includes four short double-helical elements and three loops (D, anti-codon, and T loops). The record is from RNAcentral. Lineage: Eukaryota; Metazoa; Platyhelminthes; Trematoda; Plagiorchiida; Troglotrematidae.